Long non-coding RNA from Dreissena polymorpha, 473 nucleotides. RefSeq lists it as uncharacterized. The transcript is spliced from 3 exons. Lineage: Eukaryota; Metazoa; Mollusca; Bivalvia; Myida; Dreissenidae. The record is from RefSeq and is a predicted model, not a curated record.
CACGUCUUUAUUUCAAAGCACUUCCUACAAGUUAUCUACGCGUAGUUGAAAAUUUGUUUUAAAGCAUGGAUUUUGUAAGGACAUGCGGUGCAUUUAUUGUGCUUUAUUUGCAAUUUUCAAUCAAAGAAGCUGUGAAGGAUUAUGUCAAACUGUGCGAUGAAUUGAAUUUGAAGCCUGCAUUGACCAUCUUUCAGUCAGGCGUUUUAUCCAAUGUCUAUACAGGAUACAUUAAUUUGGCUUCUCAAUCGGACGAAGAACCUCAGUGUACAAUAACCCCGUACCAUACACAACAUCCAACCAUACUUGUCUUGGUCUCCUUUGUUAAAGGCUCAACAACACAUUCCAUGUCAAUAUGCUUUGAUCAAAAUCAUACAAAGAAUUGUGUAGGGGAAGAUCGCUUCUUGUUCAUGAAGUCCAUAAUUACACUUUACUACCGAACUGAUAAACAGUCCACAGGACACAUCGCGUGUUUG